Molecule: long non-coding RNA, 2063 nt
Organism: Triticum urartu
Lineage: Eukaryota; Viridiplantae; Streptophyta; Magnoliopsida; Poales; Poaceae
Source: RefSeq, a predicted model, not a curated record
UCUCCCACAGCCACCGCCGCCCACCGUCCACUGCCCCAUCUCCCUCACAUCUCACCGCCGGCCAUGGCCUUCUCCACCACACUUGAUCUGGCGGUCUCCACGGCCGGCGAGGUCCUCCUCCACCGCCCCCCAUCCGGCGGCCCCCACGGCCGGCGAGGUCCUCCUCCACGUCCCCCAUCUGGCGGCCCCCACGGCUGGCAAUAUCCUUCUCCACCGCCGCUGACGAUGAGAAUCCGUAACCCCGGCCUCCACCGAUCACGUCUUCCGUCGCCGCACGGCGGAUCCGGCGAGAUCCCGCCCGUGGUGCGUAGACUGGCGCCCUCGACGGAACUCAGAGGCAGUAACCGAUGCACUUCUUUUCCCUCUUCUUCUGUUUUUCAGUCUACUAUAUGAUUAAUGAUUGAUUUAUACUGUACAUAGCACACUCUUAACUAAUUAACUUGGAGAUGCAUUCAUGUCAUUUAGAUUUAGAGAAGGAAGUGAAUGGAAAUCUUUCAACCCUUCCAUGUUAUUUCUCUAAAGUUGCCAGCAAUCAUAUCUCAGAUCAGCAUGAACUUGUUGUCCAGUCAAAAUUCUGAUGUAUGGAAACAUAUAGCUGGCAAAUGAACACUGAAUUUGAGGCUCUCAAAACAGAUUUUCACCAUACUAUACUAUACUAUAGGUGAUCCACUGUGUUCGUGGAUGUUCUGGCAGUAAUUUUCUUUAGCUCUCGGUCUAUAUAUAGCUUAGUUUCCUUUCAAUCUUUGUUGCAGAUUAGAGUAGCAAAUAAAAGAUAUGUGAACAGCACUUUUUCCAAAGAUCAUUCGCACAGACUGAAAAAUGCGAGGUUAGAUUUUGUAGCAUAGCCAACUUACGAUUUUACUAACUGGACACAAACUUAAAAGAUUAUUUUGCAUGCAUGUAAUUUUGAACUGUUGUUUUGCCUAUAAUAACACAAUCAGAAGAAAGAGUACCAAUAUGAAAUUCUUUCUGAUGUAAAAGUUACUAUAGAAGUAGACAAUAUGGUCUUGUUCGGCACCAGUAUCCCAUCUUUGCAUUGCAGAGUCAUCGCUGCACUUGCCGACAGUGUUUACUGUUGUUAAAAGAAAGUCAUAUACCUAGCUACAGCAUGGGAUAAAUAGUGUGGCCAUACAUACAUCUUAGUUAACAAAUAUGACUACCUGCGAUCUCUGAAUAAUGUGCCUUCAGAAUUACUGGACUCACCGAGCCUGCCAUGGAUAAAAGGGAAAAUGAAGGAAAGAAAAGAAGGUAAUAUCGUGCAUGUCUUGCUCAUCCUGCACGGCUGCAUGUACUGAAGUAGAAGUAGCAGCAGUACAAUAUUUUGUUUAGGAAUCACCGAAUCAAAAUAUUGUACAUCUGUACAAAAUUACGCUGAGCCAGAAAUAUAAUUUAAGCUGGGUUUUCACUACUGACAGAUGCAUGUUAAAUAUAGAGUUAGCAUCAUAGUAAAUUUCUGCUGCUAUACUACAUGUUGUCAUUUUAAUACACAUGGACAAUGCAUGCUUUGUGCAGUCUGAACUUCUAUCUACUGAUUUGCUUGUAUCUUUGAAAUUUGUAAGAAGACAUGUUUGGCAUCGCCAUCAACAUGUUCCACGGUGCCCUCGCCAUCAGGGCUGACUGCAGAUUGCGACGGAGUGCCGCCCAGCUGCUGCUCCGCCAUCGCCGUCGACAGCAUGGGCUUGGCCGGAGUAAGGUUCAUUCAGCACAAUCGUCACGGCAGAAAUUCUAAAGCUGCUGCAGUAAGUUGUUGCGGUGGCGGCGACGGUGGCGACGACGACACCAACAUCGCACGGGGAUGUGGCGGUGACAAACGACGGCGACAUCAACACGGGGCUGUGGCUGCGAUGACGACUUGCGGCGACAAUUGACACGGGGCUGUAGUGGUAACGACGACGACGACAUCCACACGAGGCUACAACAAGGACAACCUCUACAUGCGAUGACAGUGACGAUGGCAACGGUGACACGACGGUGUUGUAGACUCGUGGAUCUUGGCAAUGUAUACAUACUAAAUGUAUGUAUUUGAAUAUAUGAAUGAAUGCAUAAAUAUUUGACUGCGUGCA